GCCUAACACAUGCAAGUCGAACGGUAACAGGAAACAGCUUGCUGUUUCGCUGACGAGUGGCGGACGGGUGAGUAAUGUCUGGGAAACUGCCUGAUGGAGGGGGAUAACUACUGGAAACGGUAGCUAAUACCGCAUAACGUCGCAAGACCAAAGAGGGGGACCUUCGGGCCUCUUGCCAUCAGAUGUGCCCAGAUGGGAUUAGCUAGUAGGUGGGGUAACGGCUCACCUAGGCGACGAUCCCUAGCUGGUCUGAGAGGAUGACCAGCCACACUGGAACUGAGACACGGUCCAGACUCCUACGGGAGGCAGCAGUGGGGAAUAUUGCACAAUGGGCGCAAGCCUGAUGCAGCCAUGCCGCGUGUAUGAAGAAGGCCUUCGGGUUGUAAAGUACUUUCAGCGGGGAGGAAGGGAGUAAAGUUAAUACCUUUGCUCAUUGACGUUACCCGCAGAAGAAGCACCGGCUAACUCCGUGCCAGCAGCCGCGGUAAUACGGAGGGUGCAAGCGUUAAUCGGAAUUACUGGGCGUAAAGCGCACGCAGGCGGUUUGUUAAGUCAGAUGUGAAAUCCCCGGGCUCAACCUGGGAACUGCAUUCAAAACUGACGAGCUAGAGUAUGGUAGAGGGUGGUGGAAUUUCCUGUGUAGCGGUGAAAUGCGUAGAUAUAGGAAGGAACACCAGUGGCGAAGGCGACC
This 691-nucleotide ribosomal RNA is filed under the name Staphylococcus capitis. RNAcentral describes it as "bacterial SSU rRNA". It matches the Rfam family "Bacterial small subunit ribosomal RNA", at positions 46 to 726 of the family's 1533-position model. The record is from RNAcentral. Lineage: Bacteria; Bacillati; Bacillota; Bacilli; Caryophanales; Staphylococcaceae.